RNAcentral lists this ribosomal RNA (239 nucleotides) under Acinetobacter baumannii. Its description in RNAcentral is "partial 16S ribosomal RNA". It matches the Rfam family "Bacterial small subunit ribosomal RNA", at positions 1 to 242 of the family's 1533-position model. The record is from RNAcentral. Lineage: Bacteria; Pseudomonadati; Pseudomonadota; Gammaproteobacteria; Moraxellales; Moraxellaceae.
UAACUGAAGAGUUUGAUCAUGGCUCAGAUUGAACGCUGGCGGCAGGCUUAACACAUGCAAGUCGAGCGGGGGAAGGUAGCUUGCUACCGGACCUAGCGGCGGACGGGUGAGUAAUGCUUAGGAAUCUGCCUAUUAGUGGGGGACAACAUCUCGAAAGGGAUGCUAAUACCGCAUACGUCCUACGGGAGAAAGCAGGGGAUCUUCGGACCUUGCGCUAAUAGAUGAGCCUAAGUCGGAUU